This 331-nucleotide long non-coding RNA is filed under the name Physcomitrium patens. RNAcentral's name for it is "long non-coding RNA (PPAT_LNC006653)". Lineage: Eukaryota; Viridiplantae; Streptophyta; Bryopsida; Funariales; Funariaceae. The record is from RNAcentral.
UAUAUAUGCACACGUAUUUAUAUAUAAUGGUUUCAAACUCAUCAGUUGAGUCAGGUGUGAGUGAAAACGACAAGGACAAAAUAAAACAUUGGUGAUUUGUUUGAUUUGGGCCAAAUAAAAGAAACUGGUAUUUUUGCCUGCACACACUCACACACAUACACACAUUAAAAAUGUUGCGUAGUUUGUAUGAUUAGUGUCUUCAACACACAAUCUCUAAAACCUGACAAAUAUGUUGAAUAUGAAUCACAUUUUCAAAAACACCAAAUCAUCAACACUUUCAGGUACUAAAAGGAAUUAACAAUACAAUAAUUUGAAUGCUUCGAAAUUAUUC